GCCUUCGUGGUGUAGUGGUUCAGCACGCUGGGCUGCUAUUCCAGAGGUCCGUUUUUCGAUUCCCGGCGAAGGCG
This 74-nucleotide transfer RNA is filed under the name Stegodyphus dumicola. RNAcentral describes it as "tRNA-Ser". It matches the Rfam family "tRNA". From Rfam's summary of the family: Transfer RNA (tRNA) molecules are approximately 80 nucleotides in length. Their secondary structure includes four short double-helical elements and three loops (D, anti-codon, and T loops). The record is from RNAcentral. Lineage: Eukaryota; Metazoa; Arthropoda; Arachnida; Araneae; Eresidae.